RNAcentral lists this ribosomal RNA (262 nucleotides) under uncultured bacterium. RNAcentral describes it as "partial 16S ribosomal RNA". It matches the Rfam family "Bacterial small subunit ribosomal RNA", at positions 513 to 774 of the family's 1533-position model. The record is from RNAcentral.
CGCCGCGGUAAUACGAAGGGGGCUAGCGUUGCUCGGAAUCACUGGGCGUAAAGCGCACGUAGGCGGAUCGUUAAGUCGGGGGUGAAAUCCUGGAGCUCAACUCCAGAACUGCCUUCGAUACUGGCGACCUUGAGUCCGGGAGAGGUGAGUGGAACUCCGAGUGUAGAGGUGAAAUUCGUAGAUAUUCGGAAGAACACCAGUGGCGAAGGCGGCUCACUGGCCCGGUACUGACGCUGAGGUGCGAAAGCGUGGGGAGCAAACA